RNAcentral lists this ribosomal RNA (332 nucleotides) under uncultured bacterium. Its description in RNAcentral is "bacterial SSU rRNA". It matches the Rfam family "Bacterial small subunit ribosomal RNA", at positions 568 to 898 of the family's 1533-position model. The record is from RNAcentral.
UGUGUAGGCGGCUCUCUAAGUUUGGUGUGAAAUCUCCCGGCUCAACCGGGAGGGUGCGCCGAAAACUGGAGGGCUAGAGUGCGGGAUGGGAGAGUAGAAUUCCUGGUGUAGCGGUGAAAUGCGUAGAUAUCAGGAGGAAUACCGGUGGUGUAGACGGCUCGUCUGGACCGCAAACUGACGCUGAAACACGAAAGCGUGGGUAGCAAACAGGAUUAGAUACCCUGGUAGUCCAACGCCCUAAACGAUGCAUAUUGGUGUAGGUCAUUCAGUUGAUCUGUGCCGGAGCUAACGCGUUAAAUAUGCCGCCUGGGGAGUACAGUCGCAAGGCUGAA